RNAcentral lists this ribosomal RNA (200 nucleotides) under uncultured bacterium. RNAcentral's name for it is "partial 16S ribosomal RNA". It matches the Rfam family "Bacterial small subunit ribosomal RNA", at positions 1301 to 1500 of the family's 1533-position model. The record is from RNAcentral.
UAGGCUGCAACUCGCCUACAUGAAGUCGGAAUUGCUAGUAAUCGCGGAUCAGCAUGCCGCGGUGAAUACGUUCCCGGGCCUUGUACACACCGCCCGUCACACCAUGGAAGUUGGUAACACCCGAAGCCUGUAGCCUAACCGCAAGGAGGGCGCAGUCGAAGGUGGGAUUGAUGACUGGGGUGAAGUCGUAACAAGGUACC